UAGAGCGUCUGGCUGACCCGUCAUUGUCCAGGGAAGCCAUGGAUCUGGUGGCCGCAGCCCAGCGCCGUCCUCACCACCCAGGCCUGCCUGGAGCCCAGUGGCUGUCAGGGCAGCCGAGACCAGAAGCGCAGGUGGAGCCAAGGCCCCGCUGCAGUCCGCAGAGUUGCAACUCUGGGAGCUGAGCCCUCACAAGCCUUGCUUUUCACCUCCUCCCAGUGCUACCAGCCAGACCCCGAGGGCCCGGGACCCUCCAUGUACCCAUCCACACUUCUCGGCCCACCCCUCCCUGACAGCCCCGGCACCCCGGGAGGGAGCAGGUGCGUCCCGCUUCGGGCCCUCUGAACCCCCUCCAUUUCGGGCUGUUUCAGACUUCGGCCUCUCUGAAGCUCCUCCAUUUCUGGCUGCUUUUCACUGCCGUCUGCCUGCCUGUGUUCUUGUCUUCACGCCGGCCUUUGGUACGGGAGGGAGCCAUCCACGGCCCACACUGCAGCUCCCGUGACCUCCGCACGGCCCCGUGCGGACACUCAUCUGGAUUUUGUUUGUGCUCAGGAGAGGCUCUGCAUUGAACGACCUUGCACUGGGCCGGUUUCUUUUCUAAAGGACUGCAGUGUGAGAAGGCAGCACCGCCCCGGCGCCCGCGAGGAAGCCGAACUGCUCAUAAGUUAAGCAGCCCCAGCCAGGUCACGGGGCAAGGAAGCCGCCUGCGACCUCGGAAACCCCUGGUUCAUCCCAUGACCCACCCCCGUUCAUCCGGUGACCCACCCCUCACCCCGGUUCAUCCCGUGACCCACCCCCCCGUUCAUCCCAUGACCCAGCCCCCCACCCCGGUUCAUCCCAUGACCCAGCCCCCCACCCCGGUUCAUCCCAUGACCCACCCCCCACCCCGGUUCAUCCCGUGACCCACCCCCCGUUCAUCCCAUGACCCAGCCCCCCACCCCGGUUUAUCCCGUGACCCACCCCCUGUUCAUCCCGUGACCCACCCCCCGUUCAUCCCGUGACCCAGCCCCCAACCCCGUUCAUCCCGUGACCCACCCCCAACCCCGGUUUAGCCCGUGACCCACCCCCCCCCCGUUCAUCCCGUGACCCACCCCCCGGUUCAUCCCGUGACCCAGCCCCCAACCCCGUUCAUCCCGUGACCCAGACCCCACCCUGGUUUAUCCCAUGACCCACCCACGGUUCAUCCUGUGACCCGCCCCCCGUUCAUCCCGUGACCCACCCCCCACCCCUGGUUUAUCCCGUGACCCACCCCCGGGUCAUCCUGUGACCCAGACCCCACCCUGGUUUAUCCCAUGACCCGCCCACGGUUCAUCCUGUGACCCGCCCCCCGUUCAUCCCGUGACCCAGCCCCCCACCCCUGGUUUAUCCCGUGACCCACCCCCGGGUCAUCCUGUGACCCAGACCCCACCCCUGGUUUAUCCCGUGACCCACCCUCGGGUCAUCCCGUGACCCAGACCCCACGCCUGGUUUAUCCCGUGACCCACCCGCAGCACCAGCACCUCAGUGCUGCUUUUGUAUUUAUAGUCGCCUUGCUGUAUGUUGAGCGUAAUUUUACAAUCUGCCCAAAAUUCCUUUGAAGAGCAGAUAGGUGUGUACACCCUAAAUGAAUAAAAUACAGUGCGAUUUGGUGAAAGGUAA
This 1635-nucleotide long non-coding RNA is filed under the name Homo sapiens (human). Its description in RNAcentral is "HSALNT0083003". Lineage: Eukaryota; Metazoa; Chordata; Mammalia; Primates; Hominidae. The record is from RNAcentral.